Molecule: ribosomal RNA, 486 nt
Filed under: uncultured bacterium
Lineage: Bacteria
Description: partial 16S ribosomal RNA
Rfam family: Bacterial small subunit ribosomal RNA
Source: RNAcentral
AUUGAACGCUGGCGGCAUGCCUUACACAUGCAAGUCGAACGGCAGCACGGGUGCUUGCACCUGGUGGCGAGUGGCGAACGGGUGAGUAAUACAUCGGAACAUGUCCUGUAGUGGGGGAUAGCCCGGCGAAAGCCGGAUUAAUACCGCAUACGAUCUACGGAUGACAGCGGGGGACCUUCGGGCCUCGCGCUAUAGGGUUGGCCGAUGGCUGAUUAGCUAGUUGGUGGGGUAAAGGCCUACCAAGGCGACGAUCAGUAGAUGGUCUGAGAGGACGACCAGCCACACUGGGACUGAGACACGGCCCAGACUCCUACGGGAGGCAGCAGUGGGGAAUUUUGGACAAUGGGCGAAAGCCUGAUCCAGCAAUGCCGCGUGUGUGAAGAAGGCCUUCGGGUUGUAAAGCACUUUUGUCCGGAAAGAAAUCCUUGGCUCCAAUACAGUCGGGGGAUGACGGUACCGGAAGAAUAAGCACCGGCUAACUACGUG